Molecule: small nuclear RNA, 163 nt
Organism: Suncus etruscus (white-toothed pygmy shrew)
Lineage: Eukaryota; Metazoa; Chordata; Mammalia; Eulipotyphla; Soricidae
Product: U1 spliceosomal RNA
Exons: 1
Source: RefSeq, a predicted model, not a curated record
ACACUUACCUGGUAGGGAGAUACCAUGAUCACGAAGGUGGUUUUCCCAGGGUGAGGCUUAUCCAUUGCUCUCCGGAUGUGCUGACCCCUGCGAUUUCCCCAGAUGUGGGAAACUUGACUGCAUAAUUUGUGGUUGUGGGGGACUAAGUUCGUGCUUUCCCCUA